CCCAUUCUGGAUCUCCUCCUGGCUUACCAUGGCUUCCAGUCACUGCAAAACUGCCAAGCCCCUUGGUGUGAGUGCAGCUUUUAACCUGCUUCUUCCGUCUCGUAUCAGGGACUUGGAGGCUGUUUCUGAGAUCACUCCGCUGGAGGAGGGACCCUGAGGAUACAAGAGGAGAGAGACCAGGAAUGCUUCUACUUCAGGGAGUUUCAGCGUGUCUUCACUUGUACCAUUCACUUUAGGAUAAAACUUGUCAAGCACCAGUGAACUAAUGAUAUCAUGUAGUGAGCCAAAGAGCAAAAAUAAACAGCUCACACUAAGGACUCCAAGGAACAUCAGGAAGCAGCUGUCAGGGUGAUGAGAUGAGCCCACCCAUCCAGCUGGGAACCGCCAGGAAGUGCUGCUUCCUAGGAUGUGGUCUCCAACCCAAGGGGACCCAGGUCGAGAAAGCUCCAGACGGCAGAGUGCCAUCCCAGAUGGGAGAGGCAAGGAAAGACAUUUUAGAAGAACCGAGAUGCAGGGCAUGCUAUGGGAGAAGAGGUUGUCAAGCAAAUGGUUUUCUUGGACAGUCAUUUCAAGGGCUUUCUGGUUGGCUUCUGUGUCCCUGAUAGUGUUGCGACCCAUCAGUCUGUCCCCCAAUGUCAAGCUGAUUGGUUGUUUCUUUGUGAUGAACCCACAGCUCCUCAGCCUUCUGUACCCUCCUCUUACCCAGUUUUCUUAGACUUUUACCUCUUCUUGAUUUUUACUUUUCCUUCUCUCACUGACUUCUGUGGGACUCUCUCCCCAAGCAGCUCUUGCAGAUUCCAUCACACUCAGGCUGAAAAGCCUUCACCAGCCACAGGACCGGUCAUCCGCACAAAUCAAUGAUAUCCAGUAACUUUUACUUAGGUAAAUUCUUGUGGCCCACUGCUCUCGCAACACGCAUGGCGUGCUCAUGUGAACACCUGGCCCCCCGGGGUGGUGCUGUUACUCGAGGUUGAGGUUGUGGAAUCUUCUGGAGGGAUGGCUUACCUUAGAGUUGAGUCACUGAGUCGCUGGGGUGAGCCACGGCGGGUUUUCACUUGGUCCUGCUUCCUGUCCCUCUGUGCUGUUUGGUUCACUAACAUGUAAGAUGCUGCCUCCUUUCGCCACAGUCCAAACCUUUCCAGUCACCACACAUUCCCAGCCACGAUGGAUUGCACUUUCUAAAUCUAAGCCCAAUUGAACUUCUGCCCUGUUACUGGAAUUGUUAGGGUCAGGGUCUGGGCCCUGGCAGCCCUGACAAGCUAGGGUUGGCCCCUCAGUCUCAAUGGGACAAUUAGACAAGCCACAGCAGAAAGGAGAGGAAGAUUUAUUCAGUAUGGCCGCCUUGGGAAGAGGAACAAAUCAGCCCCAGUGACUCACACCCCAGUCUAUCUUUUUGGUACCGACAUGAGGUUUAGGUUUAAACAGAGGGCAAGAGGUGUGCAUAGCUACCCCGGCCCAGUCAAGGGGUCUUGCCCAUCACUAAGGAAUCAUCGGCUCAGCUCCUACAAGGUGGCCUAGCGCACUGUCAGUCUGUGAGAAAUCUCUUCUUGGGAGACAAGCUCCCCCUCUAGCUGGCAUCUCAUUCACGCCUCAGUCCUUUCUCUUCUCCCAGGAAGAGAUUCCUGGGGGAAAUUCCAGUUCCUUGGCGUCCGCUGUCUGAUAGCCAAAGGGGGAGACUAGGUGUCUUUCUUCUUGAUAUCAGAUAAACCCUCUCUGGUUGCUUUCUGUUGGGUAUCUCAUGACAGC
Molecule: long non-coding RNA, 1746 nt
Organism: Peromyscus leucopus (white-footed mouse)
Lineage: Eukaryota; Metazoa; Chordata; Mammalia; Rodentia; Cricetidae
Exons: 2
Source: RefSeq, a predicted model, not a curated record